GAUGAACGCUGGCGGCGUGCCUAAUACAUGCAAGUCGAGCGAACAGACGAGGAGCUUGCUCCUCUGACGUUAGCGGCGGACGGGUGAGUAACACGUGGAUAACCUACCUAUAAGACUGGGAUAACUUCGGGAAACCGGAGCUAAUACCGGAUAAUAUAUUGAACCGCAUGGUUCAAUAGUGAAAGACGGUUUUGCUGUCACUUAUAGAUGGAUCUGCGCCGCAUUAGCUAGUUGGUAAGGUAACGGCUUACCAAGGCAACGAUGCGUAGCCGACCUGAGAGGGUGAUCGGCCACACUGGAACUGAGACACGGUCCAGACUCCUACGGGAGGCAGCAGUAGGGAAUCUUACGCAAUGGGCGAAAGCCUGACGGAGCAACGCCGCGUGAGUGAUGAAGGUCUUCGGAUCGUAAAACUCUGUUAUUAGGGAAGAACAAAUGUGUAAGUAACUAUGCACGUCUUGACGGUACCUAAUCAGAAAGCCACGGCUAACUACGUG
Molecule: ribosomal RNA, 497 nt
Filed under: uncultured bacterium
Lineage: Bacteria
Description: partial 16S ribosomal RNA
Rfam family: Bacterial small subunit ribosomal RNA
Source: RNAcentral